This 2028-nucleotide unclassified non-coding RNA is filed under the name Hevea brasiliensis (rubber tree). Lineage: Eukaryota; Viridiplantae; Streptophyta; Magnoliopsida; Malpighiales; Euphorbiaceae. The record is from RNAcentral.
GGUUUCCCUUUGAUCUUUCAAAAAUCAAAUUCCUUCCAACUCCUUAGAUAUUUUCUUUUUGUAGUAGACUAGAUCCGAGAAAAUUUCAAGUCACACAAUCCAAAUCCCUAAAAAUUUGGAUAUUUAUAUCUCUUUCCUUGCAUAUAUAUAAAAUUCAUAUAGAUCUUUGUAAAACAAAACAAAAAGUGCACCAUUUUUCUUUUUUAUUUUUAUUAAAAUAAUAAAUGGACAUGGUGGCGAAGGUACACGUGUCAACGCACCACCUACUACCGAGCAGUAAUGUUUUCCGGCCUUCGAUUGUGAAGGUUCAUGGACGACGUAGAGUUUUUGUACAACCUUGCAGGAGCUUUAAGUCUGAUGAUGCUGAGUAUGUGAAGGUGAACAAGUUGGUUGGAGCUAUUAGGUCUGCUGUAUGGAGUUGUUCAAAGCCAAGUUUGAGAACUGAAAAUAAGCUUAGAGAAGCUAUGGAGAUGUUGGAAGAGAGAUUAUUCUGGUUGGCUUUAUAUGUUGGAAGAUAUAUUAUAACAAUGAUGAGCACAGGUGUUGUCAUGUUCGUUGGGUUUCAGUUGUCAGGUGGAGAUAGCCAGAUGAAUGAAUUGAUAUGGUACAGCUGGCUUGGAGGAAUUAUUAUCGGCACUAUGAUAGGAUCCAAUUUAGUUUUGGAUGAUGUUGCUCGAGCUGGCCCCCGUAAUGUCCUUAUAACUGGAAGGUAUAAUACUUUACUCAUACCUUCAUUGUUUGUAAUUACCAUUUUAAUUAUUUUUUGGUGCAGUACAAGGGGACUAGGGAAAGCUCUUGCCCGCGAAUUCUUACUUUCUGGAGAUCGGGUCAUUGUUACCUCCCGCAGCCCGGCAUCUGUCCGUUUGACUAUCGAGGAGCUUGAGGAAAAUCUGAAGGAAGCUGUCAAUGCUGCCACCGGCUCUGCUAGACUAAAGUUGGCACAUGCAAAACUGGUUGGUAUGGCUUGUGACGUCUCUGAACCUGUUGAUGUUAAAGAACUGGGCAAGUUUGCUGCAGAUGAACUUGGUUAUAUUGACAUUUGGGUAAACAAUGCUGGGACAAACAAAGGCUUUCGACCCUUGCUGGAGUUCACCGACAAUGAUAUUCAAGAGAUUGUCUCAACAAACCUGAUUGGUUCUAUACUAUGCACUAAAGAAGCCAUCCAAAUCAUGAAAACCCAAAGCGAAGGUGGACAUGUCUUUAAUAUGGAUGGUGCAGGUUCUGGAGGAUCUAGCACCCCUCUAACAGCUGUCUAUGGGUCUACAAAAUGUGGUCUCAGGCAGCUUCAAUCAUCCCUACUGAAGGAGUGCAAGCGGUCAAAAGUUGGAGUGCAUACGGCGUCUCCAGGCAUGGUCCUAACCGACCUACUUCUGAGUGGAUCAACUAUCCAAAAUAGGCAGAUGUUUAACAUCAUUUGCGAACAUCCAGAGACAGUUGCUAGAACACUAGUGCCAAGGAUGCGGGUUGUAAAAGGAAGUGGAAGAGCCAUCAAUUAUUUGACUCCACCAAGGAUCUUAAUUGCCUUAGUAACCGCAUGGUUGAGACGGGGCCGAUGGUUUGAUGAUCAGGGAAGAGCACUGUAUGCUGCAGAGGCAGAUCGACUCCGUAACUGGGCUGAAAGCCGGACACGUUUUUCAUUCACAGAUGCGAUGGAGAUGUACACUGAGAAUACUUGGGUGUCUGUGUUCUCACUCUCUGUAGUUUGUGCAUUCAUCAUAUUAUCUAGCACAGGUAGUACAUAAAAGUGGAUUUUGAUGGAAACCUCAAUUGGUUUGGAAGAUAGGAAGCACUGAAUUAUGACACAGCUAACUUAUAUCACUCCAGCUUUAAAAUUGAUGAUAAGGAAAGCACAUAUCCAAUUGGAAGUGCUGCAUUGCUUUAUUUAUUGCAUGCUUAAAAAAGAAAUCAUCGAGGCAUGAUGGUGUCGGUGAAUGAUAUUGGAUGUAUAGGAAUUUGGCUUUGUGAAAUGUAAAAAUCAAAGUAUCAGGUAUUCUUUUAGCAAAAAUCAGUGUAAUAAUGAACCCCGAC